RNAcentral lists this ribosomal RNA (464 nucleotides) under uncultured bacterium. RNAcentral describes it as "partial 16S ribosomal RNA". It matches the Rfam family "Bacterial small subunit ribosomal RNA", at positions 28 to 507 of the family's 1533-position model. The record is from RNAcentral.
GACGAACGCUGGCGGCGUGCUUAACACAUGCAAGUCGAACGGAAAGGCCCUGCUUGCCGGGUACUCGAGUGGCGAACGGGUGAGUAACACGUGGGUGAUCUGCCCUGCACUUCGGGAUAAGCCUGGGAAACUGGGUCUAAUACCGGAUAGGAGCCAUUUUUAUGGGGAGGGUGGGAAGGUUUUUCGGUGUAGGAUGAGCUCGCGGCCUAUCAGCUUGUUGGUGGGGUAAUGGCCUACCAAGGCGGCGACGGGUAGCCGGCCUGAGAGGGUGGACGGCCACAUUGGGACUGAGAUACGGCCCAGACUCCUACGGGAGGCAGCAGUGGGGAAUAUUGCACAAUGGGCGCAAGCCUGAUGCAGCGACGCCGCGUGGGGGAUGACGGCCUUCGGGUUGUAAACUCCUUUCGCUAGGGACGAAGCUUUUUGUGACGGUACCUAGAUAAGAAGCACCGGCUAACUACGUG